This 480-nucleotide ribosomal RNA is filed under the name Megaselia trichorrhoea. Its description in RNAcentral is "partial 28S ribosomal RNA". It matches the Rfam family "Eukaryotic large subunit ribosomal RNA", at positions 283 to 650 of the family's 3401-position model. The record is from RNAcentral. Lineage: Eukaryota; Metazoa; Arthropoda; Insecta; Diptera; Phoridae.
CAGCACUAAGUGGGUGGUAAACUCCAUCUAAAACUAAAUAUAACCAUGAGACCGAUAGCAAACAAGUACCGUGAGGGAAAGUUGAAAAGAACUCUGAAUAGAGAGUUAAAUAGUACGUGAAACUGCUUAGAGGUUAAGCCCGAUGAACCUGAAUAUCCGUUGUAGAAAAUUCAUCAUCAAUUUUGUGAUAUUUUUUUUUAAAUAUUAUAUGAAUGGUGUGCACUUUUUCUACUUAAGGACAUUGUAAUCUGUUAAUGUUUAAAUGCGUAUUAUAAGAACAUUUACACAAGUUUUUACAUUAUUUAAUUUAUUAAAUAUGUUUAAAUGUGAAUGCUUCGAAUAUGCCAUUGACAGAUUUUUACAUAUAUUACACUUAAAUCUUUUUGAUUUUAUAAUAAUAUGAUUAUCAUUGAUUUUUAUAUUUAUUAUAUGUGUAUAUAUGAUUGACAAUGCGAAAGAUUCAGGAUACCUUCGGGACCC